AUCUAUCCAUUUUAAUCCUAAUAAGCGGUCGUGUUUGAAUGAUGCUGGAUAAUCUAGAGUCUCCCUUGAAUUUUACUAAAACCAAGUACACCAACUAGUAGAGCAAGUUUUUGUGAACAUUUCUGUUUAUUUUCACUUUCACUAAAAGUUAUUCUAUUUCUUUACCAAGCAUUUAACAAAAAAAAAUUCCCAAUGGUAUUCUAAUCGAGGCGAAUGCAUUGGGCCACGCCCAUUUUUCUAAUAUCGGCUUAGUUCUUUUUUCUUCCAACACUCUGUCGAGUGUUGCCAUUUGCGCUGGCAGUUCAAACGAACACUCACGAAAAGUGGCAUUUAUAGGGAAAGUUUCCUGGCAUCGCUGGCUGUGCUGCUGGUGGUGUUGACGGCCAGCCUUUGUUCUUUUUUGCCUUCGUCUCUCGCUCGGUUUUCUUCAGCCUUCGGUUGGAAUGCAAAGUGAAAAUUGAAACGUCAAACGACUUGACGCGUUUGUUUUUUUGAUGGCGCUUGCUAAUUUAUUACAUUUUUCGGGAUUAUUCUUCAAGUGAGUGCCUUACUAAUGAUCAAAAGAACAUGUUGCCGGUAGUUGGAAGCAAUUUCAUAUCUUAAGCGCCGUGAAAAAGUAAGCGAAAGUGAAAAGGUAAUUUUGGCGAUAUUCAUUAAGCGUUUGAGGGAUUCUCGUGUGUGUCACUGUGUGUGCCAACAAAAUGAUGAGAAGUGGUCUCGCAAAAUACAAAUUAUGAUCAAAAGUGCAUUAAAUGUGAUCUUUUUGGCCAGUAAGUGGCAUACAUUUGAGUGCUUACUCGAGGCGGUGCUGUUGCUGGUAAGUUUAUAGCCCAAAUAGUAUUUUUGGAGCUUUAAUCGAGCAUCAAACUCUCCAUAUGACGAAGAUAGGUGUUUGAUUGGAAAGGGUAGAUUUCCCCUAUAUCUUGAAAACGGGGCCCUUUAUCAAAAAAUCUGUAAAGUAAUUUUCGAUUGCAAAUUCAAUUUUGUAUAAAAAAAUGAGGUCAAAAAAAUUUUAUGUAUGAAAUUUCGAUUUUUUCCAAAAAUCACCAGUUUUUCAAAAAAUCAUAACUCGGCGGCAGAUUUUUUGACCAUGUUUCUCUAUAGCUCAAAAGUUGCGGAUUUUUGUCCCCUAAAACAUAUCAAAAAAUCUCGAAAAUCAAAAAAUACGUAUUUUGGGAAUUUGAGUUUUUGUAAAAAAAAAGUUAAUAAAAAAAUCGGGAAAUUUUUUUUCCAUGUACCUAUUUUUUUCUAAAUAGUCCUUAACAAUACCUACAACUUUGCCGAAGACACCAAAUUGAUCAAAAAAUUCCUUCAAAAGUUACAGAUUUUCGAAUAUUUACGUACCAUUUUUGUAUGAACAGCUGCCAAAUUUGUAUGGAAAUUUAUAUGGACAAACUAAUGAUGUAUGUUUUGUGUGUUAUGUAUGUUAUGUUUUGUAGAGAAUUGCUCAUUUGAACAAAUUUAAAAUAACUUUAUUUUGUUCAAUUUCUGGUUCCUUAUAACAAAAAUCCUAAAUUGUGAGCUCUUUAAACGAAAAAUUUGCUGUUGGGUACCAGAAGCUUAAGUAAAACAAAGGGGGUAUCUAGCCAAGAAAGGGCUAAGAAUCGUUAUUCUAAAAUUAUUUGUUUUUAUUUUUCACACCUUCGUAAUUAAAAGUGAAGUACGAUCUUGAGUACGAUUGAAUAAAGUACUAGUUAAAUCACGAAUAACUUUUUAUAAGCACUACCAAAUUUUGAUUAAGCGCAACUCCGACAAACGCCGGAAGACCGGUCUAUACUAUUUUACAGGUCAUUGAGUUUGGUUGUCAAAGUGAAAAACAAAACAAAAUCAAGUGAUGUGUGCGACGUCUCCCAGUUUUUUGCUCGGAAAAUGUCCAUAAAACCCGGCAGGGUACAAACAAGGCGCGGUAGGUAGUGCCAUCUUCUGUGUGCGGCCAAGACCGUCGAUUUGGUUACCGUUACGCAAAUGAUCUUCAUCCCGAUGACGAUCAGCUGCCCAGAUCUGGAUGAAAGUGCACUCUGUGUAACUGUUUACGGUGAUCGAGUUUCUGAACGAAACUGCUGGUAGAGGAUGGUGAAAGUGAUCCUGGUCGAUUUGUGGAAGUUAAGACCGAUAUGAUAGUGCAAGCUACGGCACUGGAUUUGUACGCGACGAUGUCUGGAAUGUAAUUCUGCUGCGAAGCAACGCCACCCUGCCGGAAGCCGGAUGCGUCCCCCGACAAUAUCAAACUGCCAGAACGUACUCGGUCGAAACACAAAGUCGCUGCAUUCGAUGGUGACAACUCGCCCACGACGUCGGUCUGUAGAUCCAAGAAGCUCAAACAAGUCUGGAUCAAGCUUCCGUCGAGGUCGUCAACGCUAUGGAGGCUUCGCAAGCUUCCGUCACGACUAGCGGAAUCAGGACGCAAGUGGUUUUAGUACAGAAGGUGGGAUUCUACAGUUACAAUAUUUGAUCGAACUGCUGGAGUGCGAGAUGAUUAUAGAAA
This is a long non-coding RNA of Culex pipiens pallens (northern house mosquito), 2485 nucleotides long. RefSeq lists it as uncharacterized. The transcript is spliced from 3 exons. Lineage: Eukaryota; Metazoa; Arthropoda; Insecta; Diptera; Culicidae. The record is from RefSeq and is a predicted model, not a curated record.